This 467-nucleotide ribosomal RNA is filed under the name uncultured bacterium. Its description in RNAcentral is "partial 16S ribosomal RNA". It matches the Rfam family "Bacterial small subunit ribosomal RNA", at positions 29 to 507 of the family's 1533-position model. The record is from RNAcentral.
ACGCACGCUGGCGGCGUGCUUCACCCCUGCCAGUCGCACGGAAAGGCCCUGCUUUUGUGGGGUGCUCGAGUGGCGAACGGGUGAGUAACACGUGAGUAACCUGCCCUUGACUUUGGGAUAACUUCAGGAAACUGGGGCUAAUACCGGAUAAGAGCUCCUGCUGCAUGGUGGGGGUUGGAAAGUUUCGGCGGUUGGGGAUGGACUCGCGGCUUAUCAGCUUGUUGGUGGGGUAGUGGCUUACCAAGGCUUUGACGGGUAGCCGGCCUGAGAGGGUGACCGGCCACAUUGGGACUGAGAUACGGCCCAGACUCCUACGGGAGGCAGCAGUGGGGAAUAUUGCACAAUGGGCGGAAGCCUGAUGCAGCAACGCCGCGUGCGGGAUGACGGCCUUCGGGUUGUAAACCGCUUUCGCCUGUGACGAAGCGUGAGUGACGGUAAUGGGUAAAGAAGCACCGGCUAACUACGUG